This 253-nucleotide ribosomal RNA is filed under the name uncultured bacterium. RNAcentral describes it as "partial 16S ribosomal RNA". It matches the Rfam family "Bacterial small subunit ribosomal RNA", at positions 524 to 776 of the family's 1533-position model. The record is from RNAcentral.
UACGAAGGUGGCAAGCGUUGUUCGGAUUUACUGGGCGUAAAGGGAGCGUAGGUGGUUAGGUAAGCCCUCCGGGAAAUCUUCAGGCUUAACCUGAAAAGGUCGGGGGGGACUGCCUGGCUAGAGGACGGGAGAGGAGCGCGGAAUUCCCGGUGUAGCGGUGAAAUGCGUAGAUAUCAGGAGGAACACCGGUGGCGAAGGCGGGUCUCUGGGCCGAUACUGACGCUGAGGAGCGAAAGCGUGGGGAGCGAACAGG